AACGAAGAGGCGCAUUACUCAGGUAGAUCAUUUUAGGGACUGGAACUGCUAACAAAUGAUUAAGGGGAUGUAAUGCCGAGGUUUGGUAACGUUCCAGAAAGUUAUCAAAUCGACUGCAAGGGCUGAAUCCCUUGGGUUGUCACCUUAACAGGUGGAGCGCUUCGCGGU
RNAcentral lists this non-coding RNA (168 nucleotides) under uncultured Gilliamella sp. RNAcentral's name for it is "Lysine riboswitch". It matches the Rfam family "Lysine riboswitch aptamer". From Rfam's summary of the family: Riboswitches are metabolite binding domains within certain messenger RNAs that serve as precision sensors for their corresponding targets. Allosteric rearrangement of mRNA structure is mediated by ligand binding, and this results in modulation of gene expression. This family includes riboswitches that sense lysine in a number of genes involved in lysine metabolism, including lysC. Lineage: Bacteria; Pseudomonadati; Pseudomonadota; Gammaproteobacteria; Orbales; Orbaceae. The record is from RNAcentral.